Molecule: long non-coding RNA, 3905 nt
Organism: Gallus gallus (chicken)
Lineage: Eukaryota; Metazoa; Chordata; Aves; Galliformes; Phasianidae
Source: Ensembl
AGAAGUGACAUUUAUAUUUGGAAGCAGAAGAUUGACACAGAAAUUAUUCUGAAGCAUAAUUACAGUCAAGGCAAAUGCAUAAUAGAGAAAUUCUGGCUAGAAUUUCUCUGGGCUCCUCCUCCAUCAGUAACUAAUUCUUGCUCUUUUCUCAGCUCUGAGUGGUGAGACAUAGCAGUUCUCCCUGAAGGCAUUUAUAGAAGAUGUAAAGAUUUUUACCCAUUAAGGCAAUACAGCACACAACCACAAGUUGGGAUAUGAGCAAAUGCUGGUUCUGCAACAGCCCGUUCAAGAUAUAAUGGACAUUUGCAGUGUUAUGGUGUAGUGGAAAUGCUAAGUUGUGGCUUGAAGCAGUGAUUGAGCACCUGGUGGGAAGGCAGGGCCAACCCAGAGGACCUCAGGUGCAUGCAAUGCAGCUGAGUGACCAGAAGGGCUGGGGAGCCAGGAUCCACCCCUUCCCAGACCUCAUUUAAAGGUUGGCAGUGGAGACAAAGUUAUCUUGCUGGAUGUCCCUAUCUACCCAAGGCCUUCCAAAGGGCUGUGUGCUCCUGUGUGAGGCCAGGCUAAUAUGGCGAGCUGGAGGAAGAUAACUUUGAACCAGUAACACGUCCUUGUGCCCAUGAAGGCCAAUGGGUCUAAAUAUCUCCAACCUCUUCCCUCCGAACUGAAGAGAAGAUUGUCAGAAUUCACUGCAUGGACUACAAGCAAAAGUGCUCCCAACUGAAAAAUCCAACUGUUGUUCUCUUAGUUUGAAUGCAAAACCAGUAUUUUUCCAAAUGGCGAUACUAGAGGGAGUAGUCACACAGAUUUUAGAGACUCACAGUUGAGUACUUGAAGAUUUUGGUAUCUACUUUUAAAGAUGUCCUUUUUGACUGUAGAAAAUCACAGACUUUGAAUUUAAUAGUUAAAAUUUCCCAGGAGAGCUGGUCUCUGACCUCCAUGCCCCAGGGUGUUUGUUUGCUUACUAAGCACACCUGAAGUAUAUUUAUCUCACUUGCACAUAUUUUAGAGUACAGCAGUCACAGAAAAUAUAUAUAUUUAUGUUUUUCCUUACAUAAAUAAUUAUUUCUAAAAGAGUGCGGCAGCAUCAACUUGAACUGAUGGUAAUGAUACAUUUUGAAACAGACUUGGAUCUGUUGAAAUUUGCUCAUAUAUUCAAACUGCUGUCAUUGCAGGCCUGACAUAGUCUGUCCAAGAGCUCUUCCCUGGUCAUUCUUUAGAUUUGCAUUUUCUCUAUUCCCAAGAAAUCUUCAUGCAGGGAAAAGAUUCUGAGCUCCACUAAGUCAAAGAAGACAAUAUUCAAAUCCAGAAAGAUCCUUUGUUAGUAACUUGCCUAAGAUACAUACACCUAUUUUUUAAUCAUGGAAAACCUGGAAACCUAAAAUAGGCAUUUAGGCUUUGUAUCUAAAGCAUAAAUGAAAUUGCAUGCCUUAUGGUGGGAACGUACAAAAAGAGCAAGCUCCCAGAGUUGGCAAAAGUGGCCUGAGUUUAUCCUAAAUCCUUCCCAUGCCAAGAGAGGACAGUUUGCCGUGACUACCAGAGAAAUUGAUGCAAUCACUGCUUCAUCCUGGGAAGACUGCUCUAAGCAGGUAAGAGCAGGCUGUCCUUACCAUCUUGCUCCUUCUGAAAUCUGCAGCACUGAUUAUGUUUGUAUGGACCUGACUUGACAUUUUGUCUACUGGAUCAAUUCUGUUAGACAUCAAAGGUGAAGAAUCACUUAACCUGUGGAUCCUAGCAGGAUAUUAGCUGAGAUCUGGCAGAAAUCGCUAUUAUGUGUACAUAGUAAAGCAGAAUUUUUUGAGGACAUGCAGUUGACACAUUGGCACCAAUACAAGUGGACCUUGCAUGGAAUUUAGGCAGUAGUGAUAGUUUGGUACAAAAUUGUUUCCCUCAAGAAAAUUUGGUCACCUGGAUUCUGCAAGCAUAGCACUAAUGCUACCGGUUCAGAGUUAGAUUUCCAAAAUACCUAUCCCAAAAUCUCAUUUGCUUUCAGCUGUGAUUGGGCACAGAUUCAGGUUCUGGAAGUCUCUAACCCCAUUGAAUAUGGUUUGUAAGAACUUUUAUAAUAUAAUUAUAUUUAUUCAUGGUAAAAGAGCAUAUUUGGUGGAUAACAUUUUUUGCUAACAGAAAAUACAUGUAUCAGAAAGGUAUGAAACAUCUUUAAAACAUUCUUCUCAAGCAAUCAUUACUGUUUGAAACCCAAACAGUGAUUUUGUUGGAAUAAAACAGAUCUAUUUCUUAAAGUCAUAAGAUUCCCAUUGGUUUCAAUUGAGUUUUGAGUACUCAGAACAUAGAAAAAGAACAUUUUUUAUAUUGAUGCUUACACUUUUAUAUUGGCCAAAUGUACAGUUUCCUAACUUUAAAAAAAAUGCAUAAAUUAAUAAUACAAAAUAAAAAUAGUAUGACCCAAAUUACCUCAAGGCUGAGAUACUAUGUGCCUAAUUUCAGCCCAAUUUUCAUGGCUGUGUUAUCAGAGCCUGCAUAUUUAUAAUGAAAUUACUGACAACCCUUUUUUCACAAGGAGAUUCUCUUGCUUUAAGACCAACAUAAAUAUCGCUAGACAAAUUUACUAUGCAGAAAAACAAACAUUAAUAAGGAUUUUGAUACACAGAAUAAUAUAGAAAUGACAACAUAUUUUUGACUCUGUACAAAGACGUUCAUUCAUCUGUAAAUGAUUACAUUUAUAUCUGUGGCAGAAUGGUAGUGUGGGGCAUAUGAAUCUCACCUUCAAAAGAUAUUCUUUCUUUCUACAAAAAAACCCCAGCAAGCACAGGAAACUUCAAUCAAUGUCUUAUAUACGAAAACUAUGACACUGUCAAACUGGUGUCAUUAAAGCUAACUAACCAUAUUAAACGAAUAUUAAAAUAUAGGUUUCUUUGCAUAACAUAAUGAGUAAAACUGCUUUUAAGUUUUUCCCUAUGCUUUGAGGUGUAGGUGGCAUUUUCAUUCCAAAACUUUGAAGUCAGAACAAAAUGUACAGGUAGAGGGUACUAGAUCAAAUAAUAAUCAACUUCAAAAAGCAUUUUGGCUGUUAGAUGUCCCAAGGCUAAUUUCCUCUAGACAUUUUAAAUGUAAAUGUCUAAACUCAUUUAAAAAUUGUAAAUUGGUCUAGGUUCAAUCAAAAACCAUCCUGACACAGAACAGGGAGACUGGGCUAAUUGUCAUUUGUUUGUCAAAUGAAUUCCAUUUGGAAAGCAAUGAAACCUCCAAGCUAAUUCUUUUAAGGUGAGCUGGUAGUUGUAUUAUCAGUUAAAUGCAGUAAAAUGGAUAAUCACAUGAUGAUAAUGAAAACUGAACCUAUGUUAGCACUCAGGCUUAGUCUGCCACAGGGCAUAUAGUGAUGGAACUUAAGUACUGUAAUGUUCCAUUGGGCACAAUGGCACCAAGUCUGCUCUUUAGCCUUACAGACACUUUCUUUGCAUUUUAAAAAACUUUAUCAAAGCACCGUGGCAAUGUAGAAAAUGUCAAAGUGAAAUGCACUGUAGGCAAAUUGAGAUUUCAUUAAGUUUAAAUUUAUUGCUUUUGACUGAUGUAUUACCAUGCUUGUUAAGAACCAGUAAUUUGGAAUAUCUGCCUGCCUGGUAAAACAGCUUUGUCUCCUUGCGUAAUACUUUAUAUGGACUUUGAAAGACCACAGUAAUUCAAAAAAAAAGUGUGGGUUAUUUUAUUUUUCUAAAGAACAAUUUCAAAUAUUUUAAGGUCCCUGACCUAAUGGAUCAACAGACUCACGCAUGGGUCCCGAGUGUGUUCUUGGUGUACUUGGUAGAAAAUUACAGCACUAAUGUGUUAUUUUUUUGAGUUGGUAUGACACUGCACUCACUGACAACAGAACCUUGGGAAGCGCUCACCAAUUCUACUUGUUCUGCCACUCUCUGAACAUUUAUGUUGGAAAUAAAGUGUUUGUGAGA